GACGAACGCUGGCGGCGUGCUUAACACAUGCAAGUCGAGCGGUAAGGCCCUUUCGGGGGUACACGAGCGGCGAGCGGGUGAGUAACACGUGGGUGACCUGCCCUCAGCUCUGGGAUAAGCCUGGGAAACCGGGUCUAAUACUGGAUAUGACUCCAUGACGCAUGUUGUGGGGUGGAAAGCCUUGUGCGGCUGAGGAUGGGCCCGCGGCCUAUCAGCUUGUUGGUGGGGGUGAUGGCCUACCAAGGCGACGACGGGUAGCCGGCCUGAGAGGGCGACCGGGCCACACUGGGACUGAGACACGGCCCAGACUCCUACGGGAGGCAGCAGUGGGGAAUCUUGCGCAAUGGGCGAAAGCCUGACGCAGCGACGCCGCGUGAGGGAU
RNAcentral lists this ribosomal RNA (382 nucleotides) under uncultured bacterium. RNAcentral's name for it is "bacterial SSU rRNA". It matches the Rfam family "Bacterial small subunit ribosomal RNA", at positions 28 to 409 of the family's 1533-position model. The record is from RNAcentral.